RNAcentral lists this transfer RNA (69 nucleotides) under Ictidomys tridecemlineatus (thirteen-lined ground squirrel). RNAcentral's name for it is "Spermophilus tridecemlineatus (thirteen-lined ground squirrel) tRNA". It matches the Rfam family "tRNA". From Rfam's summary of the family: Transfer RNA (tRNA) molecules are approximately 80 nucleotides in length. RNAcentral also lists the same sequence under 1 other name. The record is from Rfam by way of RNAcentral. Lineage: Eukaryota; Metazoa; Chordata; Mammalia; Rodentia; Sciuridae.
GGGGCUGGGGCUCAGUGGUAGAGCACUCGCCUAGCAUGUGUGAGGCCCUGGGUUCAAUACUCAGCACCA